Molecule: ribosomal RNA, 503 nt
Filed under: uncultured bacterium
Lineage: Bacteria
Description: partial 16S ribosomal RNA
Rfam family: Bacterial small subunit ribosomal RNA
Source: RNAcentral
GAUGAACGCUAGCGACAGGCUUAACACAUGCAAGUCGAGGGGCAGCAUAAAAGUAGCAAUACUUUGGUGGCGACCGGCGCACGGGUGAGUAACGCGUAUGCAACCUACCUAUCAGAGGGGAAUAACCCGGCGAAAGUCGGACUAAUACCGCAUAAAACAGGGGCACCGCAUGGUGAUAUUGGUUAAAGAAAUUCGCAGAUAGGUGGGCAUGCGUUCCAUUAGGUAGUUGGUGAGGUAACGGAUCGCCAAGCCGACGAUGGAUAGGGGAACUGAGAGGUUGGUCCCCCACACUGGUACGGAGCAACGGACCGGACUCCUACGGGAGGCAGCAGUGAGGAAUAUUGGUCAAUGGGCGAGAGCCUGAGCCAGCCAAGUCGCGUGAAGGAAGAAGGAUCUAUGGUUCGUAAACUUCUUUUGCAGGGGAAUAAAGUGCAGGACGUGUCCUGUUUUGUAUGUACCCUGAGAAUAAGGAUCGGCUAACUCCGUGCCAGCAGCCGCCGUAA